AAAAAAAAAAAAAAAGAAAGGAAUCGAAUCACGUUUCAUCUUAUACUGCUACUUGUUAAUAUUUAUUUCUUAUUUGAACAUUUACGUUUUACAUGAUUCAAUGAAUUUAAUGAAAAAACAAGUACCGUGUAGCGGUACCUAUCAAAUGGUAUGAUUGGUCGAUCGAAUUUUUCUUCUACAUUAUUUCAGUUUCGACGAAAAUUAUGAUACAGAAGUCUAGUUAGAAUUUCGCGAGUAUCUACAUACAUAGCGAGCGCUUGAUAACUAGAACCAACAGCCUCGGUGGAAGCCUCCAGUGAUUCGUAUUUGUACCAAGAACAAUGUUUAUCGAGUAAAAACGACUAUCGAUACUCAUUUAUGUACAUAUACAUAUACGAUCGAUAUAUGUAUAUUAUAUAUGAUUAUAUAUAUAUAUAAAGUACUACAACACGGCCCAUGUAUUUGUAUAGGAUAUCAUAUAUGUGUAUAUAAUAUAACUAUACAUAGUACGUUAGAUAUAGUAUUAUCCAAAGACUGAGAGUAUCGUUUCGACGCUCUUGAACUGCAUUAAAUAAUAACGGAUGGUGGUUGGAAACUGAAAAUCCUCUUGUGAAAUAGCAAACAGGAAAGAUUGUAUAGUAUAUCUGAAUCACAUGUUUCCGAGUUAUCCGUGAAAACUGUUUUUAUCAAGGAAACCUGCUGAUUUAAAGGAGUCGGAAAAUAAAACUAGAUUAGUUGCUAGUGUUUUCAAUCAGUUUCUGUAAUUACGUUCUAUGCAAAUAUGAAUUUGCAUAAAAACCCACGGUUUAAUUAUAAAAACAUUGUACGAUACAUUUCGUAAGGAAAACUGUUAAUGUUAUUAACACAGCAAUAGUGAUCAAAAAUCGAUUUGAUGGAUCUAAUUUUUCAAGGUGUCAAAUGAAAAUAAAAAUGUUUAAAGAACCCUUUAAAUCAGUAUCAUCUCUUGAACUGCUGUUUAAUAAUUGGCCAAUGACAAGUAUGAAAUCAAAUGUGACAGGAAAAGAAAAUUCUUCGUUUCCAUUGGAAGCUUCUACGUAUUCUUCACUAUCGAAGGCGGACUUGAUAAAUUUCAAAUAUAUACAUAUAUAACUACGUUAAAGUUUUGUAACGAGGUUUUUAUUGGGAAAAUUGAUAAAUCUGAAAUUAC
This is a long non-coding RNA of Frieseomelitta varia, 1147 nucleotides long. RefSeq lists it as uncharacterized. The record is from RefSeq and is a predicted model, not a curated record. Lineage: Eukaryota; Metazoa; Arthropoda; Insecta; Hymenoptera; Apidae. The transcript has 2 exons.